GGAGAUAUAGCUCAGUUGGUAGGGUACUUGCCUAGCAUGCAGGAAUCCCUAGGUUCAAUUCCCAGCACCA
RNAcentral lists this transfer RNA (70 nucleotides) under Neotoma lepida (desert woodrat). It matches the Rfam family "tRNA". From Rfam's summary of the family: Transfer RNA (tRNA) molecules are approximately 80 nucleotides in length. Lineage: Eukaryota; Metazoa; Chordata; Mammalia; Rodentia; Cricetidae. The record is from Rfam by way of RNAcentral.